Molecule: ribosomal RNA, 591 nt
Filed under: Dietzia sp.
Lineage: Bacteria; Bacillati; Actinomycetota; Actinomycetes; Mycobacteriales; Dietziaceae
Description: bacterial SSU rRNA
Rfam family: Bacterial small subunit ribosomal RNA
Source: RNAcentral
CGGGUAGCCGGCCUGAGAGGGUGAUCGGCCACACUGGGACUGAGACACGGCCCAGACUCCUACGGGAGGCAGCAGUGGGGAAUAUUGCACAAUGGGCGGAAGCCUGAUGCAGCGACGCCGCGUGGGGGAUGACGGUCUUCGGAUUGUAAACUCCUUUCAGUAGGGACGAAGCGAGAGUGACGGUACCUGCAGAAGAAGCACCGGCCAACUACGUGCCAGCAGCCGCGGUAAUACGUAGGGUGCGAGCGUUGUCCGGAAUUACUGGGCGUAAAGAGCUCGUAGGCGGUUUGUCACGUCGUCUGUGAAAUCCUCCAGCUCAACUGGGGGCGUGCAGGCGAUACGGGCUGACUUGAGUACUACAGGGGAGACUGGAAUUCCUGGUGUAGCGGUGAAAUGCGCAGAUAUCAGGAGGAACACCGGUGGCGAAGGCGGGUCUCUGGGUAGUAACUGACGCUGAGGAGCGAAAGCAUGGGGAGCAAACAGGAUUAGAUACCCUGGUAGUCCAUGCCGUAAACGGUGGGCGCUAGGUGUGGGGUCCUUCCACGGAUUCCGUGCCGUAGCUAACGCAUUAAGCGCCCCGCCUGGGGGGAA